AUACGUAGGGUGCAAGCGUUAAUCGGAAUUACUGGGCGUAAAGCGUGCGCAGGCGGUUUUGUAAGACAGAGGGGAAAUUCCCGGGCUCAACCUGGGAUCUGCCUUUGUGACUGAAAGGCUAGAGGACGGCAGAGGGGGAUGGAAUUCCGGGGGUAGCCGGGAAAUGCGUAGAUAUGCGGAGGAACACCGAUGGCGAAGGCAAUCCCCUGGGCCUGUACUGACGCUCAUGCACGAAAGCGUGGGGAGCAAACAGGAUUAGAUACCCUGGUAGUCCACGCCCUAAACGAUGUCAACUGGUUGUUGGGUCUUCAUUGACUCAGUAACGAAGCUAACGCGUGAAGUUGACCGCCUGGGGAGUACGGCCGCAAGGUUGAAACUCAAAUGAAUCGACGGGG
This 395-nucleotide ribosomal RNA is filed under the name uncultured bacterium. RNAcentral's name for it is "partial 16S ribosomal RNA". It matches the Rfam family "Bacterial small subunit ribosomal RNA", at positions 523 to 918 of the family's 1533-position model. The record is from RNAcentral.